GUGAAAAAUUGACAUAGAUACUGAGGUAUCAAGUGAAUUUAUAAUUUCAAUUGGCCCAGAUUCCCUGGCUGCCCACUAUAUGAAUUAAAUCAGAAUAUCUAGGGGUGGGGCUCAAUCAUCAUGAUGUUUAAACUCUCCAAGUGAGUCCAAAGUUCAGCCAAAGCUGUAAGAGUGAAUUGUCCAAGGGCCAUUAGAGUCACCUGAUACUUUGCUGGACAUAUAGAAUCUUGGGUUCCAUCUCAGAAUCUGCAUGUUAUAAUUUUAGAAGCACUGCUCUGGAACAGUACUUCUUAAACUUAAACCAUGCAUAAGGACCCCCUGGAAGGCUUGUGAAAACACAGAUUCCUGAGCCCUAUCUCCAGUUACAGAUUCAGCAGGCUUGGGAAGCAGCAGGACAGUUUACAUUUCUAACAAGUUCAUAGGUGCUGCUACUGCUGUAAGUGGGUCCCACAGCGUUGUAGACUUGCUGCUGCUGCUGCUGCUAAGUCGCUUCAGUCGUGUCCGACUCUGUGCGACCCCAGAGACAGCAGGCCACCAGGCUCCCCUGUCCCUGGGAUUCUCCAUGCAAGAACACUGGAGUGGGUUGCCAUUUCCUUCUCCAGGUGUACUUAAUACUGAAGAAUGGGCGGGGGAGGAGCAUCCACAACUCAAAAGGCUAGAAAGGCUCGGAGGCUGUGUGUGGGCAGUGAUUCUUCUCCCAGUGCAGGGUUUGAUGCGAGAACCUCUUCUCUGAGGGCAAGAGUGAGCGGAGUGAGAAGAGGGUUUGAGGGUUUCAGUUACUUCUGAAAAAGAAGCAGCAUCUCUUCAUGUGAGAAGAAAUGAAGUACCACACUGAAGAAGGAUCUCAUUUGCAUGCAUUGCUCUUCCCAGCUCCUGUCCUGUGUACCCUUCAGGUCUUCCCGGGUCCCAGAGGCUGCUCUCCAGGCGGAGGCGCUAGGCUGGGCUCUCCUGCAGCGGGCCCCCCACGCCAGCCCUGCAGACCUGCAGACCCUUGGGAAGGGCCAUGUCCUCCUCCACGCCACCUGUGUCCUCCACGAGUUCCUCGUAGGUACUCCCUAGUCAUUGUUAAAAAUGGAAAAAAAAAGACUUUCAUGUUUCAUUUGGAUAAUACUGAUAAUUUGUUUAAUCAUAUUUAUUAAAUAAGGAUGUAUGAUUUUAAAAGAAUUAAAUAUUCAAAGUAUUUUUAACUGCUACUCUUGGUCUUCCCUGGUGGCUCAGCUGGUAAAGAAUCCACCCGCAAUGCAGGAGACCUGGGUUCAGUCCCUGGGUUGGGAAGAUCCCCUGCAGAAAGGAAUGGCAACCCAUCCAGUAUUCUGGCCUGGAGAAUUCCAUGGACAGAGGAGCCUGGCAGGCUACAGUCCAUGGGGUCACAAAGAGUCAAAAAUGACUGUGCAACUUUCACUUUCACUUUAUUUUCUUUUUUGCUGCCAGAUCUUUAAACAAAGAAGAUGAGAAUUCUUGCACUGAACUAAUAGGAAAUUGGAAAUAUUUUGGAAUCUGUUAUUUUUUCCAUUGGCUGCUUUGUUAAACUGAAAUUAGAGAUAUUUGUAAGACUAAGUUGAAAUAUAAAUUCUGAUUUAUCUGAUGUGUGUUCUAUCAACUUUAGCAAUCCAUAGUAAAGCUUAGUGUACCGAGGAGUUUUAUUAUAUACACAUUACAUUAAAAGUGUGAUAUUUGUACUCUCACAAUAAGUCAGAUAAGGAAUCUUAUGGAUUAUUUUAGACAAAAUUCCCUUGAAAAGGAAAUUCUCAGUGGAUCUUCAAAUAAAUUCAGUUUGAGUGGGAUAUUCUACUAUUUGUGUGACAGAUCUCUGCAAACUUAGUGACUUAAAACAACACAUUUAUUAAAUCCUCAGGCCAGAAGCUGAUCUAACUCUCAGUGAGCGAUAAUUAAAGUUUGGGCACAGCUGCAUUGCUUUCUGGAGUUGUAAGGGAGAACCCAUUUUCUGGCCUUUUCUAGCUUGUAGAGACAUCUUGCAUUCCUUGGUUUGGACUACCUUCCAUCUUCAAAGCCAGCAAUGUCUGAUGGAGUCUUUGUCAGACUGACCCUCCAAACUUGAUCUUUCCCCACUAAGGAUCCUUAUGAUUACACUAGACCCAUUUGGAUAAUUCAGGAUCAUCCUUUUAAGGUCAGUUGAUUAGCAAACUUAAUUCUGCCACUUUAAUUCCCCUUGCCACUGAACAGAAUAUUCACAGCUUCUGGGAACAAGGAUGCAUACAUCUUGAGGGUGGCUGUUAUUUUGCCUAUCAUGGUAGAUUUUAGAAAUCA
Long non-coding RNA from Bos grunniens (domestic yak), 2268 nucleotides. Lineage: Eukaryota; Metazoa; Chordata; Mammalia; Artiodactyla; Bovidae. The record is from Ensembl.